CCAUCCGUGUGGCGUGUUCAACGGGGGUGGAUGGAAGCAAGAUAGCACACUAGGGACUAGGUCUAAGGAGGAUAAGCAGAGGCAGGAGCGGCGGAGUUGAUGCGGGGCACUAGAGCUACAGCUCCUGAAGGGGUAGAGAGGUCGUGGAGGGAGGUGAGGGUGGGUCUGUUUAGGUCCUAUGCGGGGGUUUACGGUUGGGACGCCGUAGCUGCCUCGCACUGUUACAGCUGGCGGGCCGCUCCGCCGCUGAACGGCCUGAUCUACCACGCCUUGGAAGAUCUCGUCCUCUCAGAAGUAGCCUCCGUUCUGGUGGAUGUCGAGGAAGUAGAGGUAGGAGCAUCGGCGGCAGUCGAACAAGCACGAACAGGUGGCUAAGACGGUCAUUGUGUAGGAGCGGUUCCUGAAGAGGUUGGAGUUGCGGUACCAUUAAAACAUAAGAGAGCGGAGAGAGAAACGAACGACGGUCAAGUGAGCUAGUCGGAUCCAACAACCAUAAACGCUCUGUCCGUUUGUGAGUACGACCGAUAAUUUUACCUCUGAAAGUUAAAACCCACAAAAGUAUCCAUACACCAUGAUGAAACACUAUACACCGACCAACUACUUGCGACAUAUAAGGGUUAGGAAACCUUGUCUCUAAGAUGAACGCAACCAAUCUACGACCUAAAGUAGAAUAUGGAAGGAACCUUCCACUGUUGUCUUCUAUUCCAGACGCUGACCUUUUAUUCAUACGACAAACCCGUAAAAGUAAAAUUAUACAAGACGACUACUGGCUUAAACACACUUCUAAUUCCACAGAUGGAACAUCUUUUUUUAUGGUUAGUAGAUCGUUAAAGGAAAUUCAUAAUAUCAUAAGGACUAGGUGGCAACACCAACAACCGAACGCGGCAACACAUACAUGUGCGAUUACUGGUCGACCGGCGUCGAUUAAUGAGUAAUAGGGUAUACAAUUACUUGAUCCUACUUUAAUCUAUUAGGGUUUCGGUUGUUCGUUAUCGCGUACAUGCUAGCACCGACCGAAUAAAACUAGCUACUUAGCUAGUCUAGUACUGGAUACAUAUACGUACAAGUCGUGAAAGUGGCCGACCUAUAUCAUUGAAGUCAAGUCUAAACUAACACCGACAGUAGGAUCUCACAUCAUCGUCGACGACGAUCGUCGGAUUGCGACCUCGUGAACCACAUCGCGGCGCCGUAACCAGAAGUGUUGUCACACAAACGACGCGUGGCAGAAGGUGCUGCGCAACUAGAAGUCUCAGAAACUUGGACCGCAGUGUUGAGUAUCAACUCACGAUACCGACCCUGACAUUUCUUCACAAGUUUAAUACUAUCUAGUUUCGGGAAGUGUCCACUACUGCAUACAACCUACUACCUUACUAAUAAGACAAGACCACGAACGAAACUGAACCCACAAGUCUCUUCAUUUUGAAACUUGAUUGUAGAAAUCACUUCGUUGUAUAACAUAGACUUCACUUUGAAAGAGAAACUAUACCUCUACGCUCGUAGUUUGAUUGUAGGUAGAUUUCUAUUCUAACGGUUAUAUUUAGUUACUACGUACCGAGCCUUCAACCAACGUUUUAGUGCUUCCACCGAUGAUGAGCUAUCAAAAUCUAAUCCAAUAAUCUUACAGUAAGUUCAGUUACAAACUUUGUAAUACAAAAUCUACCGACCGUACAACUAACGUUCCAACUCUUAGUCUGAUGAUGAUCUAUCAAAGUGUAUGACAUUAGAAACAUAGUACGAGAAACAUUUCGUUGGCUCAACUAAAUUAUAUACACUGGAAAGAUUAAU
This 1785-nucleotide ribosomal RNA is filed under the name Triticum aestivum (bread wheat). RNAcentral's name for it is "partial small subunit ribosomal RNA". The record is from RNAcentral. Lineage: Eukaryota; Viridiplantae; Streptophyta; Magnoliopsida; Poales; Poaceae.